AGUGAACGCUGGCGGCAGGCCUAACACAUGCAAGUCGAGCGGCAGCGGGUUCCCGCGAGGGGAUGCCGGCGAGCGGCGGACGGGUGAGGAACACAUCGGAAUCUGCCUGGUUGUGGGGGAUAACGUAGGGAAACUUACGCUAAUACCGCAUGCGACCCUGAGUCGACGGACUGGGGGUGAAAGUGAGGGACCUUCGGGCCUCACGCGACCAGAUGAGCCGAUGUCGGAUAGCUAGUUGGCGGGGUAACGGCCCGCCAAGGCGACGAUCCGUAGCUGGUCUGAGAGGAUGAUCAGCCACACUGGGACUGAGACACGGCCCAGACUCCUACGGGAGGCAGCAGUGGGAAUCUUGGACAAUGGGCGCAAAGCCUGA
RNAcentral lists this ribosomal RNA (373 nucleotides) under uncultured bacterium. RNAcentral describes it as "partial 16S ribosomal RNA". It matches the Rfam family "Bacterial small subunit ribosomal RNA", at positions 30 to 386 of the family's 1533-position model. The record is from RNAcentral.